Molecule: transfer RNA, 40 nt
Filed under: Perianthomega vellozoi
Lineage: Eukaryota; Viridiplantae; Streptophyta; Magnoliopsida; Lamiales; Bignoniaceae
Also listed under: 2 other names
Description: partial tRNA-Phe
Source: RNAcentral
GUCAGGGUAGCUCAGCUGGUAGAGCAGAGGACUGAAAAUC